UAUCUCGCUGUGAUACCCACCCCCUCAUCAGUGGCCAUUGUUUGUAGCCCAAAAUGGGAGCUUCGCCCGUUUCCUUCGCACAAAAGCCACUCAAGCCAUCUGCUCCCAUUUUUCUGCCCUAGAGUGUCUGUUUCCUUCGCACAAAAGCCGUAUAGGUCGUUCCUUGUCGAUGCAGCACCACUCAAGGCAGACAAAGAGUAGCCAUUGAAGCAGCUCAGAGAUGGAGGCGCCGUAAUGUAGCCGAGGCCCAACUCAAGUAGCCCAUAGCAGCAACAGUCUAUCGCAGCAGCACCAGCACAUCCUGCCGUGAGUUUGGAAAAAUAGGAUCAUAGGUCAUUCAACUAGAUUUAUGCAAGUUGCUUUCCAUCGGUCUCUUCAUGAGCUGUACAAACGUAAGUGCCUUGC
Molecule: long non-coding RNA, 405 nt
Organism: Juglans microcarpa x Juglans regia
Lineage: Eukaryota; Viridiplantae; Streptophyta; Magnoliopsida; Fagales; Juglandaceae
Exons: 3
Source: RefSeq, a predicted model, not a curated record